UACGUAGGGUGCAAGCGUUAAUCGGAAUUACUGGGCGUAAAGCGUGCGCAGGCGGUUUUGUAAGUCUGUCGUGAAAUCCCCGGGCUCAACCUGGGAAUUGCGAUGGAGACUGCAAGGCUGGAGUCUGGCAGAGGGGGGUAGAAUUCCACGUGUAGCAGUGAAAUGCGUAGAGAUGUGGAGGAACACCGAUGGCGAAGGCAGCCCCCUGGGUCAAGACUGACGCUCAUGCACGAAAACGUGGGGAGCAAACAGG
This 253-nucleotide ribosomal RNA is filed under the name uncultured bacterium. RNAcentral's name for it is "partial 16S ribosomal RNA". It matches the Rfam family "Bacterial small subunit ribosomal RNA", at positions 524 to 776 of the family's 1533-position model. The record is from RNAcentral.